CUACACGAACGUAACCUUACCGUAGGGUUGACAUGACAGUGUAGGAAACCGAAAGGUGACCGACCCUUCGGGGAGCUUGCACAGGUGCUGCAUGGCUGUCGUCAGCUCGUGUCGUGAGAUGUUCGGUUAAGUCCGCUAACGAGCGCAACCCUCGCUGUGUGUUAUAUGUGUCACACGGGACUGCCGGUCUUAAGCCGGAGGAAGGUGGGGAUGAUGUCAAGUCAGCAUGGCCUUUAUAUCCUGGGCUACACACACGCUACAAUGGCCAGCACAGUAGGUUGCUAAGCCGCGAGGUGGAGCCAAUCCAUAAAGCUGGUCUCAGUUCAGAUUGCAGGCUGCAACCCGCCUGCAUGAAGAUGGAGUUGCUAGUAACCGCAGGUCAGCUAUACUGCGGUGAAUACGUUCCCGGGGCUU
This 414-nucleotide ribosomal RNA is filed under the name uncultured Leptolinea sp. RNAcentral's name for it is "bacterial SSU rRNA". It matches the Rfam family "Bacterial small subunit ribosomal RNA", at positions 957 to 1382 of the family's 1533-position model. The record is from RNAcentral. Lineage: Bacteria; Bacillati; Chloroflexota; Anaerolineae; Anaerolineales; Anaerolineaceae.